CACGUCCUACGGGACGCAGCAGUGGGGAAUAUUGCACAAUGGGGGAAACCCUGAUGCAGCGACGCCGCGUGAGUGAAGAAGUAUUUCGGUAUGUAAAGCUCUAUCAGCAGGGAAGAAAAUGACGGUACCUGACUAAGAAGCCCCGGCUAACUACGUGCCAGCAGCCGCGGUAAUACGUAGGGGGCAAGCGUUAUCCGGGUUUACUGGGUGUAAAGGGAGCGUAGACGGCGGAACAAGUCAGAAGUGAAAAACCGGGGCUCAACCCUGGGAGUGCUUUUGAAACUGUUUGACUGGAGUGCAG
RNAcentral lists this ribosomal RNA (301 nucleotides) under uncultured bacterium. RNAcentral describes it as "bacterial SSU rRNA". It matches the Rfam family "Bacterial small subunit ribosomal RNA", at positions 333 to 651 of the family's 1533-position model. The record is from RNAcentral.